ACUGAACGCUGGCGGUAGGCCUAACACAUGCAAGUCGAACGGCAGCACAGUAAGAGCUUGCUCUUACGGUUGGCGAGUGGCGGACGGGUGAGGCAUACAUCGGAAUCUACUUUUUCGUGGGGGAUAACGGAGGGAAACUUACGCUAAUACCGCAUACGACCUACGGGUGAAAGCAGGGGAUCUUCGGACCUUGCGCGAUUGAAUGAGCCGAUGUCGGAUUAGCUAGUUGGCGGGGUAAAGGCCCACCAAGGCGACGAUCCGUAGCUGGUCUGAGAGGAUGAUCGGCCACACUGGAACUGAGACACGGUCCAGACUCCUACGGGAGGCAGCAGUGGGGAAUAUUGGACAAUGGGCGCAAGCCUGAUCCAGCCAUACCGCGUGGGUGAAGAAGGCCUUCGGGUUGUAAAGCCCUUUUGUUGGGAAAGAAAAGCAGCAGGUUAAUACCCCGCUGUUCUGACGGUACCCAAAGAAUAAGCACCGGCUAACUUCGUG
This 492-nucleotide ribosomal RNA is filed under the name uncultured bacterium. RNAcentral describes it as "partial 16S ribosomal RNA". It matches the Rfam family "Bacterial small subunit ribosomal RNA", at positions 30 to 507 of the family's 1533-position model. The record is from RNAcentral.